This 1294-nucleotide ribosomal RNA is filed under the name metagenome. RNAcentral's name for it is "SSU rRNA". It matches the Rfam family "Eukaryotic small subunit ribosomal RNA", at positions 447 to 1777 of the family's 1831-position model. The record is from RNAcentral.
AAUCCCGGCUCGGGGAGGUAGUGACAAAAAAUAACAAUGCGGGACUCUUAUGAGGCUUCGUAAUUGGAAUGAGUACAUUCUAAAUCCUUUAACGAGGAACUAUUGGAGGGCAAGUCUGGUGCCAGCAGCCGCGGUAAUUCCAGCUCCAAUAGCGUAUAUUAAAGUUGUUGCGUCUAAAAAGCUCGUAGUUUGAAAACUUGCCUUGGCUUACAACAGACGUCUAAGGGCGUCACCGUUUGUCGAGAGCAAAUAUGGGUGACUGUUCUUGCCUUCUUCACUGAUUGGCUCGUAAAAGUCAUCGAAGAUCACUUUGACUAAAUUAGGGUGCUCAAAGCAAGUGUGCUACUUGAAUAUGAAUGCAUGGAAUGAUGGAAUAUGUUGUUGUUCUAUUUGUUGGUUUUUUUGAAUGACGAAAUGAUUGAAAGGAACUGUUGGGGGCAUUCGUAUUGUUGUGAGAGAGGUGAAAUUCUUAGACCAUAGCAAGACGAACUACUGCGAAAGCAUUUGCCAAGAAUGUUUUCAUUGAUCAAGAACGAAAGUUAGAGGUUCGAAGGCGAUCAGAUACCGCCCUAGUUCUAACCAUAAACUAUGCCGACUAGCAAUUUGCUUUGUAUUUUUAUGACUAAGUGAGAGGCCACGGGAAACCAAAGUAGGGUUAUGGGGGAAGUAUGGUUGCAAAGCUGAAACUUAAAGGAAUUGACGGAAGGGCACCACCAGGAGUGGAGCCUGCGGCUUAAUUUGACACAACACGGGAAAACUUACCUGGUCCUGACACUAGAAGGAUUGACAGAUUGAUAGCUCUUUCUUGAUUUGGUGGAUGGUGGUGCAUGGCCGUUCUUAGUUGGUGGAGUGAUUUGUCUGGUUAAUUCCGAUAACGAACGAGACUCUAGCCUAUUAAAUAAUAUGCGGAAUCAAUUUCUCCCGCGUUAUUUCUUAAUGGGAUCAAGCGUGUUUAACGCUUUGAAACAGAGCAAUAACAGGUCUGUGAUGCCCUUAGAUGUUCGGGGCUGCACGCGCGCUACAUUGAAGAACAAAGUGAGCCCUCUGGCUUUUAACAGAGCUAGAAAUCUUUUAAUGUUCUUCUUAAUGGGGAUAGGGGAUUGCAAUUGUGCCCCUUGAACGAGGAAUUCCCAGUAAGUGCUAGUCAUUAGCUAGUACUGAUUACGUCCCUGCCCUCUGUACACACCGCCCGUCGCUACUACCGAUUGAAUAGUUUAGUGAGAUCAUCUGAGUGUUUGUAUGUGCAUUCUGUGCUUGUAUGGUGUACGAAGAAGAUCAAACUUGAUUAUUUAGA